CCUACGGGAGGCAGCAGUGGGGAAUAUUGCUCAAUGGGGGAAACUCUGAAGCAGCGACGUCGCGUGAGUGAUGACGUAUUUCUGUAUUUUAAGCUCUAUCUGCAGGGAAGAAAAUUACGGUACCUGACUAAGAAUCCCCGGCUAACUACGUGCCAGCAGCCGCGGUAAUACGUAGGGGGCAAGGGUUAUCCGGAUUUACUGGGUGUAAGGGGAGCGUAGACGGUUAAUCAAGUCAGAAGUGAAAACCCAGGGCUCAACCUUGGGACUGCAUUUGAAACUGCGUAGCUAGAGUGCAGGAGAGGUAAGCGGAAUUCGUAGUGUAGCGGUGAAAUGCGUAGAUAUUAGGAGGAACACCAGUGGCGAAGGCGGCUUACUGGACUGUAACUGACGUUGAGGCUCGAAAGCGUGGGGAGCAAACAGGAUUAGAUACCCUUGUAGUC
This 440-nucleotide ribosomal RNA is filed under the name uncultured bacterium. RNAcentral describes it as "partial 16S ribosomal RNA". It matches the Rfam family "Bacterial small subunit ribosomal RNA", at positions 338 to 795 of the family's 1533-position model. The record is from RNAcentral.